UACGUAGGGUGCGAGCGUUAAUCGGAAUUACUGGGCGUAAAGCGUGCGCAGGCGGUUCGUUGUGUCGGCGGUGAAAGCCCAGGGCUCAACCUUGGAAUUGCAUUUGAGACUGAAUAGCUAGGGUGCGGAAGAGGGAAGCGGAAUUUCCGGUGUAGCGGUGAAAUGCGUAGAUAUCGGAAGGAACACCAGUGGCGAAAGCGGCUUCCUGGUCCAGCACCGACGUUCAGGCACGAAAGCGUGGGGAGCAAACAGG
RNAcentral lists this ribosomal RNA (253 nucleotides) under uncultured bacterium. RNAcentral describes it as "partial 16S ribosomal RNA". It matches the Rfam family "Bacterial small subunit ribosomal RNA", at positions 524 to 776 of the family's 1533-position model. The record is from RNAcentral.